This 253-nucleotide ribosomal RNA is filed under the name uncultured bacterium. RNAcentral describes it as "partial 16S ribosomal RNA". It matches the Rfam family "Bacterial small subunit ribosomal RNA", at positions 524 to 776 of the family's 1533-position model. The record is from RNAcentral.
UACAGAGGGUGCAAGCGUUGUUCGGAAUUACUGGGCGUAAAGGGCUCGUAGGCGGCCAACUAAGUCAGACGUGAAAUCCCUCAGCUUAACUGAGGAACUGCGUCUGAUACUGGAUGGCUUGGAUUUGGGAGAGGGAUGCGGAAUUCCAGGUGUAGCGGUGAAAUGCGUAGAUAUCUGGAGGAACACCGGUGGCGAAGGCGGCAUCCUGGACCAAUAUUGACGCUGAGGAGCGAAAGCUAGGGGAGCAAACGGG